AUGUCCACGGAGGGAUUCCUUCCAUCGGAAGCUGUCAGAAAAACUACACGGCAGAGCUACAUCAAGGAACGUCGUCUCCCACCAGGAAGCACUACGGGAUUCCCAGUGAGCCCACAGCAGCUGCCUGGUGCCAUCGCCCUGACAGGAAGUGGAACCUCUCUCCUGAGUUUCCCUACAAACUUCCCGGGAGUGGGCACUGGCUGUCUUGAAGGAGCAAGAAUACACGGGGACUCUCUGCGGUUUGGAAAUUAAGUCAAAGCAGCAAAUACCUUACAGGCAACCAGUGGCUCCUGUGGUAUUGAUGGUGAGUAAUCAUAUCCCCUCUGUGCAAGGUGUCUGCCUGCUGGUCACUCCUGACCUGUGUGGCCGUCAACCCUGUCCACUGCAUGGGGCCAGACAGGCCCAGUUUGGGGUCCUGGGAUGAACAGAGCAAGGAUGUGGUUGAGGGUCCCUGGGUGCAUUUCCACCUGGAGUCUCAGCUGAAUGGUACACAUCUACAAAGGUUGCUGCAGGCACCGUGUGGCCUGGGAUCCAGGAGACUCCAGAAGGGAGGGGCUCCCCUAAACUUCCUGGUGUCAUUGGCUCAAAAAUGUACCCGCCCCCAAAGACACCAA
RNAcentral lists this long non-coding RNA (614 nucleotides) under Fukomys damarensis (Damara mole-rat). RNAcentral's name for it is "lncRNA (ENSFDAG00000028794.1)". Lineage: Eukaryota; Metazoa; Chordata; Mammalia; Rodentia; Bathyergidae. The record is from RNAcentral.